ACUUUUUCUAAUACCCCGAGAUGUUGAAAGUCGUUCCCUUGUAUGGUCCUGCUAUGAGGGAGUCCCUCAACCUUGUUGCCGAGAACCAAAGGCUUCUCGAGGCUUCCAUCCGUUAAAAGGAGCUGGAGAAAAUGGCCCGUCUUUGGACCCAGAUUCAAGGAGAGCAAGAGCGAUCUCGAGAAAUCGAGAGGCAGUUGAAUGAUGCUAAGGCCGAGAUAUCUAGCUUAGAACGAGAUUCUGCUUCCGAAUUGCGUUGUUUAUCUAGAAAACUAAGGGAUGAAGAAGGUCAUGUGGCUACACUCCAACAAAAUAUUUAUAACAAGGAUGGUAAAAUUGACCGCCAGGCCUCCGAGAUUAAAGAACUUCGAUCCGAGCUCACUCGCUAUCAAAGAUUCGAAUAUGUGCCUGAAGAGAUAGAUAACUUCCGCUCCGAGUUAUCCCGCUUGCAAAGAGUUGAUGCUGACAGAUUCCUGCUGGUUGAGAAUUUAUAGGGUCAGUGUAACUCGCUACGACUUCAAAACAGGGAUCUUCACUCCGAUCGCAAACGUUUCUCCCGAUUGAAAGAUGAGUCCGAGAUUUCUGCCCAGCAUAUAAGGAAUAAACUUCUCGGGUAUGAUCAAAUGAGUCAAGACUUAAAAUGGACUCAGAUUCAGUUGUCGGGUCUUCAAAUAGCUCAUCAGUGUCAACAGGCUUCAUCCAGUGAGCAUAAGAAGCAUUGCCCCUCGAAUGAGUUUAAUGAACAGAAAUAUGAUGAGUUGGUUCUCAAGAUAAGUGAGAUGAGGUUUCUCUUUUGAAAUCCAAAGAAACCUUAAAAUUAGUUUUACCCACGCUCACAGCCGAACAAGGGAAAGUCCAAGAUUUGGAGGAGCAGAUCCAAAUGAAGCCGAAUGGAGUUAUUUAAUUUGAACACCAAGCUUAAUGAUGCUGAUGCUGAAUUGACUCGCCAACUGGAUGAGGAGAAAAAGAAGCAUGAGAAUGAGCUCACUGAGAAAGUCAAGGAAGGCGUGAAUGAGUUCAUAAGCAUGAGGAAAUCUAAACUCGCCGGGAAGAGUGCCGUAUCGGGAUCGACCAAUCUUGAAGAAUAGUUUCUGCCUUUUGCAGUGUUGCGCCACUACUGUGCCCCUUCUCUCAGGCUGUAAUUUACGUUUUGCUUGAACACCUUUGAGUUUUGGAUUAUAUGUUAUUUUGGGGUGUUGCGUCACCGAUAAGUACCUCCCUCCUUGAGACUUAUAGCUUUCAACAAUGUUUCACAUUUAUCUUUUAUGAAUAGUCGUUCAUAA
Long non-coding RNA from Papaver somniferum (opium poppy), 1280 nucleotides. RefSeq lists it as uncharacterized. NCBI's taxonomy places the organism in Eukaryota, Viridiplantae, Streptophyta, Magnoliopsida, Ranunculales, Papaveraceae. The transcript is spliced from 4 exons. The record is from RefSeq and is a predicted model, not a curated record.